This 236-nucleotide ribosomal RNA is filed under the name uncultured bacterium. RNAcentral describes it as "partial 16S ribosomal RNA". It matches the Rfam family "Bacterial small subunit ribosomal RNA", at positions 15 to 253 of the family's 1533-position model. The record is from RNAcentral.
GAUCAUGGCUCAGAUUGAACGCUGGCGGCAGGCUUAACACAUGCAAGUCGAGCGGAGAUGAGGUGCUUGCACUUUAUCUUAGCGGCGGACGGGUGAGUAAUGCUUAGGAAUCUGCCUAUUAGUGGGGGACAACAUUCCGAAAGGAAUGCUAAUACCGCAUACGUCCUACGGGAGAAAGCAGGGGAUCUUCGGACCUUGCGCUAAUAGAUGAGCCUAAGUCGGAUUAGCUAGUUGGG